This 806-nucleotide ribosomal RNA is filed under the name uncultured eukaryote. RNAcentral's name for it is "SSU rRNA". It matches the Rfam family "Eukaryotic small subunit ribosomal RNA", at positions 713 to 1378 of the family's 1831-position model. The record is from RNAcentral.
CGGUGUCAACUGGCGUGUCCGCGGGACGUCCUGCCGGUGAGCUCAGCCGCCUCGUUCGCGCGAGCGUCGAGGCGGCGGCUCAAAUUCAAUCCCAUCGCGGUGCUCUUCACCGAGUGUCGAGGUGGGCCGGCACGUUUACUUUGAACAAAUUAGAGUGCUUAAAGCAGGCAAAAAUAUCGCCUGAAUACUGUGUGCAUGGAAUAAUGGAAUAGGACCUCGGUUCUAUUUUGUUGGUUUUCGGAACUCCGAGGUAAUGAUUAAUAGGAACGGAUGGGGGCAUUCGUAUUGCGACGUUAGAGGUGAAAUUCUUGGAUCGUCGCAAGACGGACGUAAGCGAAAGCAUUUGCCAAAAACGCUUUCAUUGAUCAAGAACGAAAGUUAGAGGUUCGAAGGCGAUCAGAUACCGCCCUAGUUCUAACCAUAAACGAUGCCAGCUAGCGAUCCGCCGACGUUCCUCCGAUGACUCGGCGGGCAGCUUCCGGGAAACCAAAGCUUUUGGGUUCCGGGGGAAGUAUGGUUGCAAAGCUGAAACUUAAAGGAAUUGACGGAAGGGCACCACCAGGAGUGGAGCCUGCGGCUUAAUUUGACUCAACACGGGAAACCUCACCAGGCCCGGACAUCGGAAGGAUUGACAGAUUGAGAGCUCUUUCUUGAUUCGAUGGGUGGUGGUGCAUGGCCGUUCUUAGUUGGUGGAUGUGAUCUGUCUGGUUAAUUCCGAUAACGAACGAGGCUCUAGCCUGCUAACUAGGCGUACUUUCGACAUCUCAAAGGUCGGCCGUCCCGGUCCGCGAGGGCCGCGGACGCGC